CGAAGAUAAGACGGAUUAGCGGCGGACGGGUGAGUAACACGUGAGUAACCUGCCUUUUACACAGGGAUAGCCUCGGGAAACCGGGAUUAAAACCUGAUGAAACUAUCAAAUCACAUGAUUAAGAAAGUUAAAACUCCGGUGGUAAAAGAUGGACUCGCGUCCCAUUAGCUAGUUGGUGAAGGUAACGGCCCACCAAGGCAACGAUGGGUAGCCGGCCUGAGAGGGUGAACGGCCACAUUGGAACUGAGAAACGGUCCAAACUCCUACGGGAGGCAGCAGCU
This 281-nucleotide ribosomal RNA is filed under the name uncultured Peptoniphilus sp. RNAcentral's name for it is "partial 16S ribosomal RNA". It matches the Rfam family "Bacterial small subunit ribosomal RNA", at positions 77 to 355 of the family's 1533-position model. The record is from RNAcentral. Lineage: Bacteria; Bacillati; Bacillota; Tissierellia; Tissierellales; Peptoniphilaceae.